Long non-coding RNA from Ictalurus punctatus (channel catfish), 1728 nucleotides. The record is from Ensembl. NCBI's taxonomy places the organism in Eukaryota, Metazoa, Chordata, Actinopteri, Siluriformes, Ictaluridae.
GAGAGAGAGAGAGAGAGAAAGAGGAGAGAGAAGAGAAGAGAAGAGAGGAGUGAGAAGAGAGACAGAAGAGAGAGAGAAGAGAAAGAGAGAGCAUUAAAUGUGUUUUAGUGUCAUUGAGUCAUGGCAGUUAGUACACUGAUGAUCAGUGGUGUCUGUAUGGGGAACUGCAGAAAGAGCAGAUGUGCGUUGAGAAAUCCAACACCUCCUGAACCCGUCCCAGAAAAUAAACCGGGUUUUUCCCUGACCAGAAUCCACAUCUGCUCUAGCGCCAUGUCAUCAGACAUUUCUGAGAAGUGACCCUGGCUAAUUUGACUGAAACGUUAAAAAACCCCAAUAAAGUGCGCAGGGAAGUCCGAGACAAAGCUAAAUAUAACAAAACUGACUGUGAUAAAGUUUGGACUUCUCUACAUUUGCCUUGCGACUCCAGUGCACAAGUAAAGAGGGGGGAAAAAACCAACGACAAAAUGCAGAAAUUGUGUACAGCUGCCUCCGAAACUAUUGGAACGGCCAGUGCAUUGUCUGUGCUGCAGACCGAAGACGUUUUGGGUUUGAAAUCGAAAGACGAAUAUGAGAAAACAGAGUUGGGCAUUUCAGCUUCCAUUUCCUGGUGUAGACGUGUUAAACCACACAGAAACAGAACACAUUUUUGGAUCGGACCACCUGAUUUGACAGGGGUUUCUUGUGACCCAGGUGUGUCCUGUUCAAACAAUAAACAGCUCUAAAUUGGUUGUAGCCUUCCGUUUCGCCUGUGUAGACGGCGUUGGUUGUUAAAAAGGAUAAACCAACACGAAGAUCAGAGAGCUGUCAAUGGGAGAACAAGAACGCCGUUUAAGCUGAAGCUGAAAACAAACACUGGAUGUAGCCAACACAACGAUUUGGAACGUCCUGAAUGAGAAAGAAACCCCUGGUGUACCGAGAGAGACACCGAACGGGUCGGACAAGGAAAACACCACCGCCUGAUGACAGAAACUUUGUGAGAUCUGUGAAGAAAAACCCCGAUCAGACCAAAAACGACAAUCAGUGACGUACACGUCGCGUAUCGUAGAAGCGUCCUUGAAAAGAUACUUGUGUCCCAUCACCCCGCCCGAUGUUACCGAGAAUCGCCGCGUGAAAACUUCAAGACCCUGGAGACUCCUUAAAUGUUAAACGUCUCCUCGGAGACAACGUCACCGACGCGUUUAUUCCCAUCGGUUUAUUUGUCCCGUGUAACGAGAGCGUUAAGAUCCCCCUGCGGUUGGAAUUACAGCCACGCUACAGUCAGAGCCGCUGUUAGAGAAAACGAACCGACACCCUCGGACCAAUCGGAAAGGGGAAUUCGACGGCGCUGCGAUGUUCGACAGAGUCUUCGUCGCAGGCGCUGGGAAACAGCGUCACGGGCUCUCUGGACAGACUGCAGCACUUUCCCUCCAGAGAUGAAGGCCAAAAAAAACCCAUCAGCACAUCUUUACUCACACGAGUGGAGUGUUUUAUUCGUUAACCCGACGCGUGUGCAGUCUCAGAGACCGCCUUAAUGAAGUGCACCAGAGAUAAAGUGCAGACACUGCACCACUUCCUGCCGAUGUUAUCGACCUGCUGGUUCCUCUACAGGACAGGUGUUUGUAAAAGAGAAAAGAGAAUGCGAUCACUCUCUCUCUCUCUCUCUCACACACACACACACACACACACACACACACACACACGCGGGAAGUGAUGUUUGCAUGUGGAUGAGACAGGAACCUGAUGUUCCCC